UUUGACCUCGGAUCAGGUGGG
RNAcentral lists this ribosomal RNA (21 nucleotides) under Blastacervulus eucalyptorum. RNAcentral describes it as "partial 28S ribosomal RNA". Lineage: Eukaryota; Fungi; Ascomycota; Dothideomycetes; Asterinales; Asterinaceae. The record is from RNAcentral.